CUGUGACUCCUACGGGAGGCAGCAGUGGGGAAUAUUGCACAAUGGGCGCAAGCCUGAUGCAGCCAUGCCGCGUGUGUGAAGAAGGCCUUCGGGUUGUAAAGCACUUUCAGUUGUGAGGAAGGUGGUGUCGUUAAUAGCGGCAUCAUUUGACGUUAGCAACAGAAGAAGCACCGGCUAACUCCGUGCCAGCAGCCGCGGUAAUACGGAGGGUGCGAGCGUUAAUCGGAAUUACUGGGCGUAAAGCGCAUGCAGGUGGUUUGUUAAGUCAGAUGUGAAAGCCCGGGGCUCAACCUCGGAACUGCAUUUGAAACUGGCAGACUAGAGUACUGUAGAGGGGGUAGAAUUUCAGGUGUAGCGGUGAAAUGCGUAGAGAUCUGAAGGAAUACCGGUGGCGAAGGCGGCCCCCUGGACAGAUACUGACACUCAGAUGCGAAAGCGUGGGGAGCAAACAGGAUUAGACACCCUGGUAG
Molecule: ribosomal RNA, 470 nt
Filed under: uncultured bacterium
Lineage: Bacteria
Description: bacterial SSU rRNA
Rfam family: Bacterial small subunit ribosomal RNA
Source: RNAcentral